GUGCUUGCUUCAGCAGCACAUACACUAAAAUUGGAAUGAUAUAGAAAAGAUUAGCAUGGCCCCUGUGCAAGGAUGACAUGCAAAUUUGUGAAACAUUCCAUAUUUAU
This is a small nuclear RNA of Otolemur garnettii (small-eared galago), 107 nucleotides long. NCBI's taxonomy places the organism in Eukaryota, Metazoa, Chordata, Mammalia, Primates, Galagidae. The record is from Ensembl.